GACGAACGCUGGCGGCGUGCUUAACACAUGCAAGUCGAACGGAAAGGCCCUGCUUUUGUGGGGUGCUCGAGUGGCGAACGGGUGAGUAACACGUGAGUAACCUGCCCUUGACUUUGGGAUAACUUCAGGAAACUGGGGCUAAUACCGGAUAGGAGCUCCUGCUGCAUGGUGGGGGUUGGAAAGUUUCGGCGGUUGGGGAUGGACUCGCGGCUUAUCAGCUUGUUGGUGGGGUAGUGGCUUACCAAGGCUUUGACGGGUAGCCGGCCUGAGAGGGUGACCGGCCACACUGGGACUGAGACACGGCCCAGACUCCUACGGGAGGCAGCAGUGGGGAAUAUUGCACAAUGGGCGGAAGCCUGAUGCAGCAACGCCGCGUGCGGGAUGACGGCCUUCGGGUUGUAAACCGCUUUCGCCUGUGACGAAGCGUGAGUGACGGUAAUGGGUAAAGAAGCACCGGCUAACUACGUG
RNAcentral lists this ribosomal RNA (468 nucleotides) under uncultured bacterium. RNAcentral's name for it is "partial 16S ribosomal RNA". It matches the Rfam family "Bacterial small subunit ribosomal RNA", at positions 28 to 507 of the family's 1533-position model. The record is from RNAcentral.